UACAGAGGGUGCAAGCGUUGUUCGGAAUUACUGGGCGUAAAGCGCGUGUAGGCGGCGGCGUAAGUCGAAUGUGAAAGCCCUUGGCUUAACCAAGGAAGUGCAUUCGAUACUGUGUCGCUUGAGUACCGGAGGGGAUGGCGGAAUUCCCAGUGUAGCGGUGAAAUGCGUAGAUAUUGGGAGGAACACCAGUGGCGAAGGCGGCUACCUGGACCGGUUCUGACGCUGAGGCGCGAAAGCGUGAGUAGCAAACAGG
RNAcentral lists this ribosomal RNA (253 nucleotides) under uncultured bacterium. RNAcentral's name for it is "partial 16S ribosomal RNA". It matches the Rfam family "Bacterial small subunit ribosomal RNA", at positions 524 to 776 of the family's 1533-position model. The record is from RNAcentral.